UUGAAAGGGAAACGAUUGAAGUCAGUCGUACCUGCGGGUAAUCAGCCUUUUGGGUGUGAUUAUGUGGAGCGUGAGGAGCUAAUCGCCUUCAUCUUUGCAUAUUCGUGCACUUUGGGUGUACUUGCUCGUGUGGUAGGUUAACAUCAAUUUUGAUCGUCAUAAAAUGACUGGAGGAAUGUAGCUUCGAUCUCGUAUUGAAGUGUUAUAGCCUUCGGUAGAUGUGAUGAUUAGGAUUGAGGAUUGCAACGAACCCUUCGGGGCUACCUGUCUGAUCUCUGAAAGUUGCUCUGGUGCCGAAAGCUUGCUUACGGUAUCAAAGUUGACGUUCAACAGGUUAGAACGGGAUAAAUUCGUUAAGGAUGUUGACGUA
This 370-nucleotide ribosomal RNA is filed under the name uncultured Glomeromycotina. RNAcentral describes it as "LSU rRNA". Lineage: Eukaryota; Fungi; Glomeromycota. The record is from RNAcentral.